Molecule: long non-coding RNA, 525 nt
Organism: Engraulis encrasicolus (European anchovy)
Lineage: Eukaryota; Metazoa; Chordata; Actinopteri; Clupeiformes; Engraulidae
Exons: 3
Source: RefSeq, a predicted model, not a curated record
CAGCUCUCUUUGCCACCCCACAACGUGCUUGUUCAAGCAGCUCCUUUUCUUUCAGGUUUUGUGCUUAGAAAGAGUGACAUGAUGCAGGAUGGAGUUGCGAGGAGUUCCCGGACACGGUCAGAGAUGGCUGGAACAGUCGGAUGGAUUUGCAAUCAUGCAAUAAAUGCCCACACAAGACGCCAUGGUCAAAUGGUUGGAGAUCGUUGAGAGUUUGCAGCUAUUGAUGAAAGUUGUUUCCUUAAUAAAAGCAAGUAUCACCACAGAAGGGCCGGUGCAACAUGGCGACGGAAAAAGUGGGUAUUAAGAAUAUUAGGAGUAGGUGACCGCCAGAAACAUCCUGUCUUGUGGCUGGUGUGGUUAAACAAGUGCGUCCGGGAACCACCGUCAUCAGUGACCAAUGGGGCACUUACAGGAGUGCAUUGACUGCGACAGGCUACAGGCACUUCACAGUGAACCACUGUCAGUAGUUUGCGGAUCCAAACACCUUGCGCGCCUCCCAGUAUGUCAACCCCAGCUUUCUCUGUG